This is a long non-coding RNA of Lytechinus variegatus (green sea urchin), 276 nucleotides long. RefSeq lists it as uncharacterized. NCBI's taxonomy places the organism in Eukaryota, Metazoa, Echinodermata, Echinoidea, Temnopleuroida, Toxopneustidae. The transcript has 3 exons. The record is from RefSeq and is a predicted model, not a curated record.
CUUAUGACUGCUCUCACUAGUCCUAAUGUCAGAGUCAUAGUUGAUGGGUAUUCCUCUAAGAAGACUGCUGUGUGCUUCCAAUGUCAACGAUGUCUUGACAGACUUUCUACACACCGGGGUAUAUGAUCUUCGCCAGAGGCCUUUGAGGGUGACCAUGUCCCCCGCCAUUGAUAUCUUCAAAUCUAGAAAGAGCUCUCCUGAAUGCAAGGUUACCAUACAGCAAGGAUGGCAACGUCACAUCACAUUGUUCCAGAGGCGACGGAUGACAACAGUUAC